This is a long non-coding RNA of Epinephelus moara (kelp grouper), 621 nucleotides long. RefSeq lists it as uncharacterized. The transcript is spliced from 3 exons. NCBI's taxonomy places the organism in Eukaryota, Metazoa, Chordata, Actinopteri, Perciformes, Serranidae. The record is from RefSeq and is a predicted model, not a curated record.
GGACGGAAAAGAAAAGAAAAGUGAUGAUUUAUGGAUAUAUACUUUACACAUAAUCCAGCAGAAAAUACAACGGAAUGCGUUGUACUGGGGGACAGAGGUACACGUUGUGGCUACAAACUACGUGGCAAGAAUACGACCAACCUCAAGAGGCAUUUGAAAGCUCACCAUGCUGCUAUUUUUGCGACGGAAAAGAUGGCUCGUGGCAGCACCACAGGCGCUAUGCCUCAUAGUUCAGCAGAGGCAGAGACAUCCAUUGUGAAGAAAGGAAAUAAGUCAUCGGGCAGCUUCUUUAAGAGCAGCCCUGCGCCCCCUGCUUCAUCCUCUGUGCAGCUGGAGGAUGCCAUGGAAGCUGAGCUGAACAGCUAGCUGAUGACUCAUCGGUAGAGAGGAAGAUCCCCUGGCCUGGAGGAAGGCAGAAUCCCAUCCAGGACCUACAUGUGUGUUCAUCAAACAGAAUCAAUAAGAUACAGCUGAAAAUAGCAGCUUCUGUCUUUGCCGAAGAUCCCGCUGACAAUCCUCCACUAUCCUCUACAUUCUGACAAAGGAAAUACUGAAAAGAGGGAAAACAACAAAUAUUUGUCGUGGAGGGAGAAGGUUGGAAGAGAGCGUAGCCCCGGGUCA